AAGUCGUAACAAGGUUUCCGUAGGUGAACCUGCGGAAGGAUCAUUAACACGUAUCCAACGUUAAACCCCCCUGUGAACUUUUAUACUUGCUCUCGUGGCUACCGGAAUUGCAAUCCCUGGUAAAUCAUUGUUGAACAGAUUUUGAUUCAGGGACCUCAGUUUGGUAGUUUCGAUCGAGCGAUCGUUGCAAGUGGCCUGGUUUCCCCAAGCAGUCAGUGUCUGAAAGUGUCAUUGAUUGUGUAAGGAUUUCGCUUAGCGAUCACUGGAGGUCGAUCACCGACCGGUGGAUCAAGUCACAGGGCUUCGGCUCCCUCCCCAACCCCACUUCCUAUUGCCGCUCCGCGCUAACAACGCCGGGCAUUUAAAACGUACUAAACAACUGUUAACAAUGGAUAUCUUGGUUCUC
This 406-nucleotide unclassified non-coding RNA is filed under the name fungal sp. Its description in RNAcentral is "partial internal transcribed spacer region". The stretch from base 1 to 46 matches the Rfam family "Eukaryotic small subunit ribosomal RNA", at positions 1786 to 1831 of the family's 1831-position model. Lineage: Eukaryota; Fungi. The record is from RNAcentral.